Molecule: long non-coding RNA, 931 nt
Organism: Chinchilla lanigera (long-tailed chinchilla)
Lineage: Eukaryota; Metazoa; Chordata; Mammalia; Rodentia; Chinchillidae
Exons: 3
Source: RefSeq, a predicted model, not a curated record
GGGACCUGCGCUCCGCGCUGAGCCCACGCCCGGCCCCGCGCCAGUGAGCGCUUCGCGCGGCGGAAAGCCGCUUCUGCUGCUGCAGCCUCCUGGGAAGCCCGUGCGGUGAUGUCAGGGCUGCAACGCCGAGUCGCGGCUGUAAAUAGCCAGAGACGGAAUUAAAGAGAGCUCGGGGGCUCAGCCUGCAGCGGGGCGCUGAGUUCGAUAAAGUUGCGGGACGCUGGGGAAGUGAUUGAUCUUAAAUGAAUGGCACGGCCUUCACAGAAUUCCUAGCGUCUGCUCUCCAGUCUGGAGACUGCAGGCUGCCUGAGACUUGCAGGGUUGUUUUUCAGGCUGGCUGAGGGCGUAGGAUGUUUUGUAACCACAGAGCCUCGCCCCCGCACCCUGGAGAUCGGGCCUGACAGCGCAAGAUGUUGGACUGGGAAAUGCCCAAAUCUCAGUAUUUAGAAUCUGUCCUGGGGCCUGGUGUAAUGGUGACAUCUGUAAUCCCAGCACUCAGGAGGCUGAGGCAGGAGGAUCACUGCGAGUUGGAGGCCAGCCUGGGCUAUAAAAUGGCAGAGCUGGAGGACUCCUCAGCAGCCAGGGAAGAUCAUUAGAGAACACAUGAAAGCGGACUGUUCUGUUGCUUGCAGUAAUCCAAGGAUCUAUGCUCACUCUCAAAGGGAGCAGAAAAAGAGGUCUUGACCCAUAUGAGGCCGAGAUUGGCAAGUGGGAGACACCUACAGAGCAAGGACAUUGGAAUGGAAAAUCUACCAUUAGGACAGGUGACUGGUGAAGGCAUCCAGUGAAGACAAAAGGCGUCCGGUGAGAGUCUAUAGUCAGAGGCCUCACCAUGGCUGUGCUAUCGGGUUUAAAAUUGCCUUCUCUUCAAUAGACCCAUACUAUCCAAGAUGAGGACUAAUGUGAAAAAAUUGUUACUUGUCUAAAAUAA